CCUACGGGAUGCACCAGUGGGGAUAUUGCACAAUGGGCGCAAGCCUGAUGCAGCCAUGCCGCGUGUGUGAAGAGGGCCUUCGGGUUGUAAAGCACUUUCAGCGGGGAGGAAGGCGUUAAGGUUAAUAACCUUGGCGAUUGACGUUACCCGCAGAAGAAGCACCGGCUAACUCCGUGCCAGCAGCCGCGGUAAUACGGAGGGUGCAAGCGUUAAUCGGAAUUACUGGGCGUAAAGCGCACGCAGGCGGUCUGUCAAGUCGGAUGUGAAAUCCCCGGGCUCAACCUGGGAACUGCAUUCGAAACUGGCAGGCUAGAGUCUUGUAGAGGGGGGUAGAAUUCUAGGUGUAGCGGUGAAAUGCGUAGAGAUCUGGAGGAAUACCGGUGGCGAAGGCGGCCCCCUGGACAAAGACUGACGCUCAGGUGCGAAAGCGUGGGGAGCAAACAGGAUUAGAUACCCGGGUAGUC
Molecule: ribosomal RNA, 464 nt
Filed under: uncultured bacterium
Lineage: Bacteria
Description: bacterial SSU rRNA
Rfam family: Bacterial small subunit ribosomal RNA
Source: RNAcentral